Pipra filicauda (Wire-tailed manakin) is the source of this 264-nucleotide long non-coding RNA. RefSeq lists it as uncharacterized. The transcript is spliced from 2 exons. Lineage: Eukaryota; Metazoa; Chordata; Aves; Passeriformes; Pipridae. The record is from RefSeq and is a predicted model, not a curated record.
ACCCUCACUCACACCAAUACACAUGCUUCUGCACAUGCUGUUCCAUGUGCACACGCACGCUUCUGCACAUGCUGUUCCCAUGUGCACAGACACACUUCUGCACAUGCUCUUUCCUGGCCUGGUGUGUGUCACGUCUGCAGGAAGCCAGUGCGUGUGCCAGAACAACCAUGCUGCACACAGGAGACCUACUACAAGAAUUACAUUUCUUCCCUGGUUCCAGUCACAGGCCAGAGAGCAGGUUUAUGAAAGGUUAAUGCCCCCUUA